GCCCGGCUGGCUCAGCCGGUAGAGCAUGCGACUCCUGAUAUCAGGGUCGUGAGUUCAAACCCCACACUGGGCC
Molecule: transfer RNA, 73 nt
Filed under: Ailuropoda melanoleuca (giant panda)
Lineage: Eukaryota; Metazoa; Chordata; Mammalia; Carnivora; Ursidae
Rfam family: tRNA
About the family: Transfer RNA (tRNA) molecules are approximately 80 nucleotides in length. Their secondary structure includes four short double-helical elements and three loops (D, anti-codon, and T loops).
Source: Rfam by way of RNAcentral